Molecule: long non-coding RNA, 468 nt
Filed under: Homo sapiens (human)
Lineage: Eukaryota; Metazoa; Chordata; Mammalia; Primates; Hominidae
Description: non-protein coding LINC02541:55
Source: RNAcentral
AGACGUGCACUGCAGCAGCACCGGGACUUGACAGCCCUACGGCUCGAUCAGCUUUCUGUUUUCAUUGCCUUACGAUGCCAUGAGUGGAACUAUUGUCAAAUCAGAGUUCACUCCCCAGCUUUUCAGUCUUUCCCCUAAUUCUUGCUCUAUCAGAGGUCGAGGACAACAGUAUAAUGAUUCAUAGGUUCUACUUCCUGGCAAGUAAUCAUUUUCCCACGGGCCCUUGUGAAUUGAUGAAUAUGAAGACACUAAGAAAGCAGAAAUAGAACUGAGAAGAAUGAAAUAACUGUCUCUACCUUUCUCGAAUUGUCUAAUAUGGAAAGAAUGAAAGACAGCUAAUAAGCAACUCUCUGCAAGAAGACAUAUGGCUUAGGUUCUGCUGAGCUAUUGGUGAUUUGAUUCCAUGCAUAUGUAUUCACUACUGAGAUGGGAUCUUGCUAUGUGGCCCAGGCUGGCCUCAAACUCCUG